AAUGCAUAUGUUUCAUGUUGGUUCUUUAGUCCCUCUUUGGUACAAGCCUAAGAAUUGAAUUCAGUAAUUAUGAAAUAGAGAUCAUGAACUGUAAUACAUAAUAAGUUCAAUUACUGUUAAUAAAAUGAGAUGAACUCAUUUUUAAGAGUCUACCAAACAAGCCAUACUCUUUAUUAAAUUGAAUUGUUGCAAUUCAGUGGGACAUCCAAACAACCAACUAGCUCAUAAGUUCCAUAUGCAACUAGUUGGACUGUAAAUCCCCACCCUUCUUGAAUCCAAUCUCAGUGGUUGGAAUUCUAAUGAUCUCUGCUGCAUCAAUGGUCACCGACCUAUAUUGAAUUCUGAUGGCGGCAGUCACGCAAGCAGUCGUGAUUGGCAACAGUGAGGGUGUGGAAACCGAAGAUGAAGACUCUGGUGAUUAUUGGUGAUGGUGGUCAUCUGAUCAUUCGGGUCACUUAGUACCUUUGGCAAUGUAUUUUAUAUGAGAAUUGGGUGAUCUCCUUAAUCAAGGUUAAGGAAUCUUAAUCAUGAUAAGGAGUGUUUUGUUUUUGCUCUUGCCGUUCUUAAGAUAUCAUAAAGUAGCUUAUACGUCUAAAUAUAUGACACGGAUUGUGUGAGCCACACCCAUAUUUUUUUUAGUCAUCCAUUAAUCUAACUUAAUAAAUAUUUGUCCUGUUACACGAAGUGAUCAUUUUAGUGGGGCCAACCUUUUGAAAGCGUUGGAUGUUGUUCACACAUGGAAUAUGAGCUAGGGCGAUAAAUUUAGGUUCUGGAUGGUUGCGUGUGAGACCGGUUUCAACUGGGCUUGGCCCAUGUGGGUGGAAAAGAAACGAAAAAUCAUCUACCAAACGAGAAACCAAAAAUAACAAGCAUUUUAAUUUUUUAAUUUUUUAAUUUUUUCUUUUCAUCCGCCGGCGGGUGGAAAUCGAAGGCCGUGACGGUGGUGGGUCACACCAGUGUUGGUGGUUCGGAGGCGCACGAAAAAUCGCAGCCGAAACUGUCGGAGAUGCUGGAACAGAGCCGAAACGGUGGAUCAGCGAGGCUGCGAUGCUGCCGCUGCAACCGAGGAACCAGGUGUGCGAACAAGGCGAUUACGGUUCCGCUCUUCGAUGGUAUCGGUGAUGCCGGUAUUAAUGGCGGGAGGGCGAUGGGCGAGGGCGAGGACACUGGAUGGGUAUGACAGCCGGGUUUGAUGGAUGGGUUCGAUCGACAGCGUCGCGGAGGCACGGCUGGUAGCUGCGGACGGGGAGAUGGUGCCCGAAAUUGGAGGCGCUGCGCUGUCGAUGCGCCAAUCGACGCUGCUCACGGAGGUUAACGUUGUCACAAAACCUAUUAUCAGCGUGCUUGUACUACAUCUCUAGCACAUUGGAGGCUGCAGUUGUCAACCUAAAUCCAGUCUUUACUUUCAUAUUAUCUAUAAUGUCAAUGCAAGAGAAUCUUGGAAUCAACACCUGGUGGGGUAAAGGGAAGAUCUUUGGGACUCUUUUAUCUGUCUCUGGUGCUUCAACUCUCAUGUUCUGGAAAGAUUCAACUGAGAGUCUGCUUGGCACAACCAGCUUGACAGAAUGGGUGUUUGGCUUGGUUAUGGUGGUUCUUGGGGUUCUUGCACUUAGCACAUGGAUUUUGUUGCUGAGGCCGAUGACAAAACGAUACCCAGCAGAGUUUUCCCUGACAGCCAUAAUGUUUUUCUUUGGAACAUUACAAACAGCUGUCAUAGCCAUAUUUACGAGUCACGAAGCCACAGAAUGGAGGCUUCAUUGGGAUUAAGAGCUCCUAAAUAUAGUAUUUGGAGCCUUGUUUUACUGUGGCUUAUCGAACCUCUUCACUACAUGGUGUCCUGGAGUAAAGGGACCCAUCUUUGUGGCCUCAUUUGCUCCUUUUGGCUUGGUUUUGACCACGAUCCUGGAAAUUAUAUUUCUAGGCGACACCUUGUACUUGGGAAGGUAAUUUCUUUAGCAAUUCAUCAUGUGGCUAACAUUCACAUCAAUGACCAAUCUAGACCAUCAAAAUUGUGGGCCCCACUGUAUUUGGCAUACAUCAAAAGUCGCACCAAUUGGAUGAUCUUUACAGUCAGGAUUUGCCUAUUGAAUUAGAACCACCAUUUUUUUAAUCAGCAAUUUAGGGGCCACCAAUCAGAUGGUCACGAUUGUCUGAGUAAUGUGAUUUUUGGUGUUAUGCAUCAUCCGCCAUGAGACCAUGGUUUUCAGUCUGAAUGAAGAGUGCAUGCUUUCCACCUAUAUCUUGGAUGAGUCGCCAUUUUUAUGGUGGAGUGACCUCUUGGAUCAGCAUGAUUUCCUGACCUUGUUGGAUGAUUAUGAUGCAAAUACAAAUAGCAGAGUGGCACCACAAAUAUGGGUGUACGCUGUCUGGGGAAUUUUGGUCAUUGGGUACGGAUGCCUUCUACCUCUUACAGCAGAGGGUAACAGAGGGAAGAUAUCUUCAACAACUAACAAACAGAGGGGAGGCAUGUAUAAUUGUCUUCUAUUUGUGGGGGAAGGUUGUUGCAAGUAAACCAUUUUUGGGAAGGUGAUUGCAAGUAAUCCAUUAUAGCCACUUUCCCUCUAGAUCUAACACCGUACACCUCUCAAAAUCUAUGUAGACAUAGUUAUGAGCAAUCAGUUUCUCAAAGAUAAAUGGAUGGCACAUAAUAAGCUGUGCAUCAAAUAGUUUUUUUUCGAUACUAAUAUAUUGAACACUAUUCUCACAUAUUCCUUUGAAUUUUUGCAGCAUGUUGGAUCAAUCAUGGUAGUUUUGGGCCUUUACGUUUUUCUAUGGUCCAAAUCCAAGGAGGACAAUUGCGACACAAUUAACACAAUGGAUCCAUUGGACAAAGACAAUUGCACCACCGCCUUGUUGGUCUAAACCGUAGCUCAGGACUCACUUCUUGGUUGUGUACUUAAAGCUGGAAUUCCAACCUGUUCCCUCAUGUAUCUAGAAAUUAAGUUGCUUAUUUUCGAGGAAGAAUUGUCUUGACAACAGAAGACUGAAAUCCUUUCUUCCUCCUUGUGUAACCAGUGUAACCAUUAAAAUUAUUGAUUAAUUCUUUCAUUUAACGUUGUUUGUUUAGAAAAGCACGAAAA
Molecule: RNA transcript, 3080 nt
Organism: Magnolia sinica
Lineage: Eukaryota; Viridiplantae; Streptophyta; Magnoliopsida; Magnoliales; Magnoliaceae
Gene name: WAT1-related protein At3g18200-like
Exons: 4
Source: RefSeq, a predicted model, not a curated record